This 63-nucleotide transfer RNA is filed under the name Sibylla pretiosa. RNAcentral's name for it is "tRNA-Gly". The record is from RNAcentral. Lineage: Eukaryota; Metazoa; Arthropoda; Insecta; Mantodea; Hymenopodidae.
AUUUAUUUAAUAUAAAAAGUAUAUUUGAUUUCCAAUCAAAAAGUCUAUAAUUUAGAAUAAAUA